This 253-nucleotide ribosomal RNA is filed under the name uncultured bacterium. RNAcentral's name for it is "partial 16S ribosomal RNA". It matches the Rfam family "Bacterial small subunit ribosomal RNA", at positions 524 to 776 of the family's 1533-position model. The record is from RNAcentral.
UACGUAGGAGGCAAGCGUUGUCCGGAAUCACUGGGCGUAAAGGGUGCGUAGGCGGCACGGUAAGUCAGGUGUGAAAGCCCGGAGCUCAACUCCGGAAUUGCACCCGAUACUGCCGUGCUUGAGGACUGGAGAGGAGAUUGGAAUUCACAGUGGAGCAGUGAAAUGCGUAGAUAUUGUGAGGAACACUAGUGGCGAAGGCGAAUCUCUGGACAGUUCCUGACGCUGAGGCACGAAGGCCAGGGGAGCAAACGGG